Molecule: ribosomal RNA, 301 nt
Filed under: uncultured bacterium
Lineage: Bacteria
Description: partial 16S ribosomal RNA
Rfam family: Bacterial small subunit ribosomal RNA
Source: RNAcentral
CAGCCGCCGCGGUAAUACGUAGGUGGCAGGCGUUGUCCGGAAUUAUUGGGCGUAAAGCGCGCGCAGGUGGUUUAAUAAGUCUGAUGUGAAAGCCCACGGCUCAACCGUGGAGGGUCAUUGGAAACUGUUAAACUUGAGUGCAGGAGAGAAAAGUGGAAUUCCCAGUGUAGCGGUGAAAUGCGUAGAGAUUAGGAGGAACACCAGUGGCGAAGGCGGCUUUUUGGCCUGUAACUGACACUGAGGCGCGAAAGCGUGGGGAGCAAACAGGAUUAGAUACCCGAGUAGUCCCUGUCUCUUAUAC